Molecule: long non-coding RNA, 466 nt
Filed under: Mytilus galloprovincialis (Mediterranean mussel)
Lineage: Eukaryota; Metazoa; Mollusca; Bivalvia; Mytilida; Mytilidae
Source: RNAcentral
GAUUUAUUUCCUACAUUUUGUAAUAAAGGCAACAGUAGUAUACCGCUGUUCGAAAUUCAUAAAUCUUAUGAGAAAAAAACAAAUCCGGGUUACAAACUAAAACUGAGGAAACACAUCAAAUAUAACAUUAUAACUACGACACAACUGAAACACAAUAUUUAAAUGUAACACUCACAGAAAGGAACUAUAGUAUAACAAUGGCCAUUUUCCUGACAGGGUACAGGACAUCUUAAGCAAAAAAAAAAAAAAAAUGGUGGGUUGAACCUGGUUUUGUGGCAUGCCACGCUUAUAUGGCAAUGUUAAAUAUCACAUUAAAAUGACAACAUUACAUGACAGGACUACAAUACAAAUAAAUCGGAGAACAUAUAGGACAGAUAAAAAGACACGAAUAAUAUGGGGACGAAGUCCCCAAUUACGGUAGAAAAAUCAAUAAAAAAAAAAAAAAAAAAAAAAAUCGGGAAAAUUU